AAAUUGAAGAGUUUGAUCAUGGCUCAGAUUGAACGCUGGCGGCAGGCCUAACACAUGCAAGUCGAACGGUAACAGGAAGCAGCUUGCUGCUUUGCUGACGAGUGGCGAACGGGUGAGUAAUGUCUGGGAAACUGCCUGAUGGAGGGGGAUAACUACUGGAAACGGUGGCUAAUACCGCAUAACGUCGCAAGACCAAAGAGGGGGACCUUCGGGCCUCUUGCCAUCAGAUGUGCCCAGAUGGGAUUAGCUUGUUGGUGAGGUAACGGCUCACCAAGGCGACGAUCCCUAGCUGGUCUGAGAGGAUGACCAGCCACACUGGAACUGAGACACGGUCCAGACUCCUACGGGAGGCAGCAGUGGGGAAUAUUGCACAAUGGGCGCAAGCCUGAUGCAGCCAUGCCGCGUGUAUGAAGAAGGCCUUCGGGUUGUAAAGUACUUUCAGCGGGGAGGAAGGUGUUGUGGUUAAUAACCGCAGCAAUUGACGUUACCCGCAGAA
This 496-nucleotide ribosomal RNA is filed under the name Salmonella enterica subsp. enterica serovar Poona. Its description in RNAcentral is "bacterial SSU rRNA". It matches the Rfam family "Bacterial small subunit ribosomal RNA", at positions 1 to 486 of the family's 1533-position model. The record is from RNAcentral. Lineage: Bacteria; Pseudomonadati; Pseudomonadota; Gammaproteobacteria; Enterobacterales; Enterobacteriaceae.